Molecule: long non-coding RNA, 240 nt
Filed under: Hordeum vulgare
Lineage: Eukaryota; Viridiplantae; Streptophyta; Magnoliopsida; Poales; Poaceae
Description: long non-coding RNA (HVUL_LNC000488)
Source: RNAcentral
AGAUAGGGGUGAAUAUCCUCGUGUGUGCUUGUUUUCUUUAUCACUAAGUAGAUUUAUUUGUUGUUCCAAGUUGUUCUAUAUCUUUAGUUAUGAAUACGGAACACGAAAUACCUAAAAAAUUAGGUGUACUUGCUACUCAUGGAGACGGGGAACCUCCUAAAACCCUCGAGGCUCGUUAUGUGGAAAAUAUUAUGCACUUCUUUAAUAAUCCUGAGAAAGCCCCAUUCAAUUAUAUAAUGG